GCUCGAGUGGCGAACGGGUGAGUAACACGUGAGUAACCUGCCCUUGACUUUGGGAUAACUUCAGGAAACUGGGGCUAAUACCGGAUAGGAGCUCCUGCUGCAUGGUGGGGGUUGGAAAGUUUCGGCGGUUGGGGAUGGACUCGCGGCUUAUCAGCUUGUUGGUGGGGUAGUGGCUUACCAAGGCUUUGACGGGUAGCCGGCCUGAGAGGGUGACCGGCAACAUUGGGACUGAGAUACGGCCCAG
RNAcentral lists this ribosomal RNA (244 nucleotides) under uncultured Actinomycetales bacterium. RNAcentral's name for it is "partial 16S ribosomal RNA". It matches the Rfam family "Bacterial small subunit ribosomal RNA", at positions 89 to 334 of the family's 1533-position model. The record is from RNAcentral. Lineage: Bacteria; Bacillati; Actinomycetota; Actinomycetes; Actinomycetales.